GACGAACGCUGGCGGCGUGCUUAACACAUGCAAGUCGAACGGAAAGGCCCUGCUUUUGUGGGGUGCUCGAGUGGCGAACGGGUGAGUAACACGUGAGUAACCUGCACUUGACUUUGGGAUAACUUCAGGAAACUGGGGCUAAUACCGGAUAGGAGCUCCUGCUGCAUGGUGGGGGUUGGAAAGUUUCGGCGGUUGGGGAUGGACUCGCGGCUUAUCAGCUUGUUGGUGGGGUAGUGGCUUACCAAGGCUUUGACGGGUAGCAGGCCUGAGAUGGUGACCGGCCACAUUGGGACUGAGAUACGGCCCAGACUCCUACGGGAGGCAGCAGUGGGGAAUAGUGCACAAUGGGCGGAAGCCUGAUGCAGCAACGCCGCGUGCGGGAUGACGGCCUUCGGUUUGUAAACCGCUUUCGCCUGUGACGAAGCGUGAGUGACGGUAAUGGGUAAAGAAGCACCGGCUAACUACGUG
This 468-nucleotide ribosomal RNA is filed under the name uncultured bacterium. RNAcentral's name for it is "partial 16S ribosomal RNA". It matches the Rfam family "Bacterial small subunit ribosomal RNA", at positions 28 to 507 of the family's 1533-position model. The record is from RNAcentral.